UACGGAGGGUGCGAGCGUUAAUCGGAAUUACUGGGCGUAAAGGGUGCGUAGGUGGUUUGAUAAGUUAUCUGUAAAAGCCCUGGGCUCAACCUGGGAAGGCCAGAUAAUACUGUUGAACUGGAGUAUGGGAGAGGGUAGUGGAAUUUCCGGUGUAGCGGUGAAAUGCGUAGAGAUCGGAAGGAACACCAGUGGCGAAGGCGGCUACCUGGCCUGAUACUGACACUGAAGCACGAAAGCGUGGGGAGCAAACAGG
Molecule: ribosomal RNA, 253 nt
Filed under: uncultured prokaryote
Description: partial 16S ribosomal RNA
Rfam family: Bacterial small subunit ribosomal RNA
Source: RNAcentral